ACGGGGGGGGCAAGCGUUGUUCGGAAUUACUGGGCGUAAAGGGCUCGUAGGUGGCCAUCUAAGUCAGACGUGAAAUCCCUCGGCUCAACCGGGGAACUGCGUCUGAUACUGGGCGGCUUGAAUUCGGGAGAGGGACGUGGAAUUCCAGGUGUAGCGGUGAAAUGCGUAGAUAUCUGGAGGAACACCGGUGGCGAAGGCGGCGUCCUGGACCGAUAUUGACACUGAGGAGCGAAAGCCAGGGGAGCAAACGG
Molecule: ribosomal RNA, 251 nt
Filed under: uncultured prokaryote
Description: partial 16S rRNA
Rfam family: Bacterial small subunit ribosomal RNA
Source: RNAcentral